This is a long non-coding RNA of Empidonax traillii (willow flycatcher), 262 nucleotides long. RefSeq lists it as uncharacterized. The transcript has 3 exons. The record is from RefSeq and is a predicted model, not a curated record. Lineage: Eukaryota; Metazoa; Chordata; Aves; Passeriformes; Tyrannidae.
UAUGUAUCUUGGAGCUGUAUUUCUCUAUGAAGUCUGUGGAAGCUUGUUACCCUGUUAAAUGCCCAGCUUUCACUAAAUCCACACCUGAAGGUCAUGUGAAUUUUCGGCCCACCCAGCUUGACGGAGCUGAGAGCAGCUUUCUUCUGAGAUACCUGGUACUUGCUGCCUUUGCUUCAGGAUCCUAGAAAUUCACAGGUCUUCUUGACUUCAAAGUGGCCACAGCAAACCCCUGCUCAGGAUUCAGGAGGAAACCUUUACCACC